Molecule: ribosomal RNA, 447 nt
Filed under: uncultured bacterium
Lineage: Bacteria
Description: bacterial SSU rRNA
Rfam family: Bacterial small subunit ribosomal RNA
Source: RNAcentral
UCGGGAAUUUUGGGCAAUGGGCGAAAGCCUGACCCAGCAACGCCGCGUGAAGGAUGAAGUAUUUCGGUAUGUAAACUUCGUAAGAAUAGGAAGAAUAAAUGACGGUACUAUUUGUAAGGUCCGGCUAACUACGUGCCAGCAGCCGCGGUAAUACGUAGGGACCAAGCGUUGUUCGGAUUUACUGGGCGUAAAGGGCGCGUAGGCGGUGUGUCAAGUCAGUUGUGAAAUCUCCGAGCUUAACUCGGAACGGUCAACUGAUACUGUCACACUAGAGUACAGAAGGGGCAAUCGGAAUUCUUGGUGUAGCGGUGAAAUGCGUAGAUAUCAAGAGGAACACCUGAGGCGAAGGCGGGUUGCUGGGCUGAUACUGACGCUGAGGCACGAAAGCUAGGGUAGCAAACGGGAUUAGAUACCCGGGUAGUCCCUGAGCGGGCUGGCAAGGCGCAU